GGGCAGGGGCGUUGUUUGCUUGUUUAAUUUACUAGUGUGUAUACGUACAUCUAUGCCUGGUGCCUGUGCGUGCGUGCAUGUGUGUGUGUGUGUGUGUGUAGGCGCCUGGUUUAGAACAUCCAAAACCAUGAGGCAAAAUAAGUCUUUCCUCUUCAACUACACUUGAUCUUAAGCCAAAGGCCAAGAGACAAUCCCAUUGUCUUCAUAAAUUUGUCAGGCAUUUGUUACAGUGAUCUAACUAACACAAUUCUCCAGGGUAAACUGAGGAACUAGACUGAAUUUGGAGAGGGGCUAAAAGGUGAAGCCUUCAUAUGACCAGCUGCUCUAGAGACAGCUCCCGGGACCAGGGCUGUCCGAAUUGGCACACGUGAGUGCGUGUGCUGACACUAUCCAUAGCCAUCUAUACUUCAUGCUUAACCGUGCAUCCUGCGUUUGAUCGGGCAGUCCUCUGUGGAUGGAUGGAGCACUGCGCUGCUUGGACAGGUUAUAAACCACCUCUAUAUUUUCUUCUUUUCUUCUACAUCAGUCUUGCUGCCCUAAGUUGAAUGCCACAGUCAGCAACAAGCCAUUGAGCUUUGUUCUCAGCCUCUGUCCUAGGCUGCCAAGACACAACUGCCAAUUCAAACAAUUCCACCUCUUACCUCCAGAGUCCCAGCCCCUGAAAAUGAGUUGUCCAAAGGAGCAACCCACUGAAUCCAGCUGUGACCCACUCACCUCUGCUGAUUCACCAGCCUUGGACUGAACCUCCUACACCUGAGCCUUCAGCACUCAAUACCCAACACCGCAGAUGGCAGAUCCAAGGUACCAUUUGAGAGUCAUUCUUCAGCACUAUUU
RNAcentral lists this long non-coding RNA (834 nucleotides) under Mus spicilegus (steppe mouse). RNAcentral's name for it is "lncRNA (ENSMSIG00000013610.1)". Lineage: Eukaryota; Metazoa; Chordata; Mammalia; Rodentia; Muridae. The record is from RNAcentral.